AAGAGAAUCUGAUGGCCAGAAAUUGACAUAAAUGAUAGCGGCAUGUUUAUUUAGCUUUUUUGUUAAUUAUGCAUGCAGUUUUGACAGGACAUUUCAAAAACUGCAUCUGCAUCUGAUUAUGGUCUAGUUAGAGCACAAAUAAAAGUCAUAAAAACAUAUGAAAUCCUUUUCCUCACAUCUACAACAGCAUGGAAAUGAGAAAUAUAGGCCUACUCAAACUGACUGGAUGUCAAAAGUAGCCGGAUGUGAAUCUUGUAAUGUUACAUUAAUGUUUGUCAACAGUUUUAUAGCCUUUUGCACGGUUAGAUUUGAGUUAUCUCACAAUGGACUAUAAACAGGACGUUUAAACCUUUAUAGCAGGAAGUCUUGUUUGCAGUUGACAGAAACACACUGGCAGGGCCUCCAACUGAUCCUUAGCAAUCCUUGCAUGUGACAUUUAGGAAAGAAAUGAUGAUCACAAAUGAAGAAACUUUGCGUCAUUUCAGAGCAGAUUUGGAAUGCCAUGAAGGGUUAUGGAGGCGUGAGCUCACCAGAUCACAGCCCUCCCAUUUUCCGUUUUGUCGUGUCUAACCCAGCCUCCCCCCGCCGCGCUCCAGUAUGAAGUAAUGGGAUGCUAGUGAAGACGCUGCCUUUGAUGUCUGGAAGCAGAUGGGCAGAGGAGGAGAGCUGCGUGCUGACAGGUAUCUCUCGUCGUGUCUGAAGUCCAGAGGGACACACUGAAGGAGACUGUGCUGAUUGUUCUGGCAAGUGUAUUGACUCCUAACCUCACUUCACCUGAAAUUAAACCCUGCCAACGAGACAUUUAGAUGCUGAUGCUAGCCAAAUUAGCCUCCUACAGACACUGGCGCUCAUUUAUGGCCUUUCUGCUGAUUAUAAUUUCCCCCACUGCCUUCACUCACGUAUGCCCAUUUGUCACAGAUUUGCUUCUUGUAUGGUUUGGCAUUCACGUCCAGGAGUUUCCUUGAGUCUGAAAUAAAAAAGUUUCUUCCCC
Carassius carassius (crucian carp) is the source of this 991-nucleotide long non-coding RNA. RefSeq lists it as uncharacterized. The record is from RefSeq and is a predicted model, not a curated record. The transcript is spliced from 3 exons. NCBI's taxonomy places the organism in Eukaryota, Metazoa, Chordata, Actinopteri, Cypriniformes, Cyprinidae.